This 500-nucleotide ribosomal RNA is filed under the name uncultured bacterium. RNAcentral describes it as "bacterial SSU rRNA". It matches the Rfam family "Bacterial small subunit ribosomal RNA", at positions 30 to 522 of the family's 1533-position model. The record is from RNAcentral.
AUUGAACGCUGGCGGCAGGCCUAACACAUGCAAGUCGAACGUGAAAGCUCCUUCGGGAGUAAGUAGAGUGGCGAACGGGUGAGUAACGCGUAGAAAUCUACCCAAGAGUGGGGAACAACCCGGAGAAAUCCGGGCUAAUACCGCAUACACCCUACGGGGCAAAGUGGGGGACCUUUCGGGGCCUCACGCUUUUGGAUGAGUCUGCGUCGGAUUAGUUUGUUGGUAGGGUAAUGGCCUACCAAGGCGACGAUCCGUAGCUGGUCUGAGAGGAUGACCAGCCACACUGGGACUGAGACACGGCCCAGACUCCUACGGGAGGCAGCAGUGGGGAAUAUUGGACAAUGGGGGCAACCCUGAUCCAGCCAUGCCGCGUGUGUGAAGAAGGCCUUCGGGUUGUAAAGCACUUUCAGUAGAGAAGAAAAGCCUAAGGAUAAUACCCUUGGGUCUUGACGGUACUUACAGAAGAAGCACCGGCUAAUUCCGUGCCAGCCGCCGCAGUA